UUAAAGUAAAGAAGAGCUUAAGCCCUUUUACAACAUUUGAUCAAAUCAAAUUACAACCAAAAUCUAAUCUACUCAUUCCCAUGGUUCAAACAAAUUUGAAACGGCCUAUCAAUUAGCUCAAUUAUAUUAGGCUUAGGUUCAUUAUCACCCUUUAAUUAAUUAACACUUUAACUAAUUAAAUUGAAUGCAACAUUUUCAU
Molecule: long non-coding RNA, 199 nt
Filed under: Malus domestica (apple)
Lineage: Eukaryota; Viridiplantae; Streptophyta; Magnoliopsida; Rosales; Rosaceae
Description: long non-coding RNA (MDOM_LNC018825)
Source: RNAcentral